GACGAACGCUGGCGGCGUGCUUAACACAUGCAAGUCGAACGAAGAGCGAUGGAAGCUUGCUUCUAUCAAUCUUAGUGGCGAACGGGUGAGUAACGCGUAAUCAACCUGCCCUUCAGAGGGGGACAACAGUUGGAAACGACUGCUAAUACCGCAUACGAUCUAACCUCGGCAUCGAGGAUAGAUGAAAGGUGGCCUCUACAUGUAAGCUAUCACUGAAGGAGGGGAUUGCGUCUGAUUAGCUAGUGGGAGGGGUAACGGCCCACCAAGGCGAUGAUCAGUAGCCGGUCUGAGAGGAUGAACGGCCACAUUGGGACUGAGACACGGCCCAGACUCCUACGGGAGGCAGCAGUGGGGAAUCUUCCGCAAUGGACGAAAGUCUGACGGAGCAACGCCGCGGGAGUGAUGACGGCCUUCGGGUUGUAAAGCUCUGUUAAUCGGGACGAAAGGCCUUCUUGCGAAUAGUUAGAAGGAUUGACGGUACCGGAAUAGAAAGCCACGGCUAACUACGUG
RNAcentral lists this ribosomal RNA (510 nucleotides) under uncultured bacterium. Its description in RNAcentral is "partial 16S ribosomal RNA". It matches the Rfam family "Bacterial small subunit ribosomal RNA", at positions 28 to 507 of the family's 1533-position model. The record is from RNAcentral.